This 495-nucleotide ribosomal RNA is filed under the name uncultured bacterium. Its description in RNAcentral is "partial 16S ribosomal RNA". It matches the Rfam family "Bacterial small subunit ribosomal RNA", at positions 28 to 507 of the family's 1533-position model. The record is from RNAcentral.
GAUGAACGCUGGCGGCGUGCCUAAUACAUGCAAGUAGAACGCUGAAGGAGGAGCUUGCUCUUCUGGAUGAGUUGCGAACGGGUGAGUAACGCGUAGAUAACCUGCCUGGUAGCGGGGGAUAACUAUUGGAAACGAUAGCUAAUACCGCAUGACAACAGUUAUUGCAUGAUAACUGUUUAAAAGGGGCAACUGCUCCACUACCAGAUGGACCUGCGUUGUAUUAGCUAGUUGGUGAGGUAACGGCUCACCAAGGCGACGAUACAUAGCCGACCUGAGAGGGUGAUCGGCCACACUGGGACUGAGACACGGCCCAGACUCCUACGGGAGGCAGCAGUAGGGAAUCUUCGGCAAUGGACGGAAGUCUGACCGAGCAACGCCGCGUGAGUGAAGAAGGUUUUCGGAUCGUAAAGCUCUGUUGUAAGAGAAGAACGAGUGUGAGAGUGGAAAGUUCACACUGUGACGGUAUCUUACCAGAAAGGGACGGCUAACUACGUG